GACAUAGGUGGCGACCGUUAUCCGGAAUUAUUGGGCGUAAAGGAUGCGUAGAUGGUAGAAUAAGUUAUUGGUCGAUGCCAAACUCAAUUUGGCGGAAGCUGGUAAUACUGUUCAACUAGAGGACAGGAGAGGUUGAUGGAAUUCUGCGUGGAGCGGUGAAAUGCGUUGAUCUGCAGAGGAACACCAAAAAAGGCGAAGGCAGCUCGCUGGGACGGUACUGACGCUGAGGUGCGAAAGCGUGGGGAGCGAACAGG
Molecule: ribosomal RNA, 254 nt
Filed under: uncultured bacterium
Lineage: Bacteria
Description: partial 16S ribosomal RNA
Rfam family: Bacterial small subunit ribosomal RNA
Source: RNAcentral